RNAcentral lists this long non-coding RNA (2018 nucleotides) under Trifolium pratense (red clover). RNAcentral describes it as "long non-coding RNA (TPRA_LNC014104)". The record is from RNAcentral. Lineage: Eukaryota; Viridiplantae; Streptophyta; Magnoliopsida; Fabales; Fabaceae.
UUUUUGACGCCGCCAUUAGAGUUACAUACGGCAAUUUAAAAUCAUGUUCAUAAUCAUAAAUUUCACAAUUGCAACUGUGACAUAAGAAGUGUCGUCAACAUUUGCUCACGGACUUUUUUAAAAGAUGAUCGAUAUGUAGAUUAUACCGCUUUAAAAAUGGGUUUUAUAAACUAUGACUUUUAUGUUUAAAAGAAGAUAGAGUGAGUGUUGGUUUUAUUUCUUUUGCAAUUUUUAAUAUUGUCAUAAAUUAUUGACCAAGUAUUAGUUGCAAACAAUUCAUCAGGAGAAUCUCGAUAGUUGAACUGAGGUGUAAAUUAAAUCCAACAAUCGAGAUUUGACUUGAUUGAAUAAAUGCACAUGAUUAUAACUAGUUGCAAACUGCAAUUUAAAACUUCGAUAUUUUUUUGUUAGCUUAUUUGAUUAUGCAAUUUGAUCAUGUAUUAAUGAGGUACUAAUAUUUUUGACAGUGUGUUUUGCUGUGCCACAGGCGUGACAAUGGCUCUACAAGCUCCAAUUCCUCAUCGUUAGAGACUCAUAUAUCAUAUCAAUGAUCUCAAAAAAAAAAAUCACUAGCUGUGUCAAAACUUCCCAAGUUAUUGCUUCUUGAAGUCUCUUAUAUCAUCAAUCAACCUUUGGCCUAACCAUGGUCUCUCAUCCUUCACACACACACACUCUUUUCACUAACACCAAAGAAAAAAGUCCAUCAAUGGAAUUUGGGCUUUUCCACUCAUCAUCAUCAUAGGCCCCCCAUAGGGGCCCAAAGGUUUCCUCUCCAUAUAAUUUGGAGAGUCAUGCUCAUGCAUUAUCCCAUAUUUUCAAGAAAAAAAAGUUGCAUUGGUUCCUUGAAGAGAACCAAAAUGUUUAAUCACCAACAAAAGCUAUAGGAAAUAGCUUUAAGUUGGGAAAAAAAUGGAAAAACUUAGCCCUUGGAAAGGCUAAACCAAAAAAAAAAAAAAAUCAUCUUAUUAAUUAACUUAGCCCAUGGGGGGCAAAGUGAAAGUAAUAAAGAAUGGUUUUUCAAAAAUUGUAAAUUGAAGAAUCUCACAAAUAGGUAUAGCUCAUCAAUUUGAAAUUAAGCUAGUUUUGUAGAAAUAGGUAUCCCCUUUGAUUAAUUGCUAAUCACACCUCUUUGGAUAAAGAGGAAAAUUUAGCAAUUAAGGGACAUUGGAUGUCCCAUCUUUUUUGUAUGGUAACAUCUAGCUAUAGUGUUAUAGUCUUUAGUGUUAAUUAGGAUUAGGAUUAGGAUAAGUCAUGUUUAUCAAAUUAAUUUUUAUAAAAAGAAGGGUUUAACCAACCAACAAAUUAACCAUCUUUCCUUUGGGUAAGGAGAGAAAAUAACUUUUUUUUUCUUUAUGUAAAUUCAUUGUGGCUAAACUAUGGGAGUUUAAGCCCAAUUUAGUUAUUUUUAGGAGGGAAGUAAUUUUUUUACUUUCCAAAUUAGCAUAUAUGUAGUACAUUUCAUCAUCAUUUUGAGACCUACAUCAAUAGAAUGUGGAACUCAAAAACACUUGCAUAUGUAAUCUAGGGAGAUAUUUGGCUUCCCUUGGGUUACUUCACUUUGCUCACCAACCAUGGUUAGGGACAUAGGUGAAUUAAUGAGAAUCUCAUCAUCACUCUUACUUUGUUUCUCUCUAUCUCUCCAUUUCUCAAUCCUCUUCAUUUCUCUUCCUUUCUCUAUGGCAACUUUUAAAUUGAGAUGGACCUUAAUUAAUACUCUUUUAAUUUUAUGUUUAAGCCUAUAUGGUAUUUGGAUUGUAAUUAGGAAAUCUAAAGUAGGAGGAUUAAUUCAUUCCCUAUCCAUAUGCUGGAUGAGAAUGGAUUUACUACUUAUUCUACUAUGCCUUUAAUUUCUUAUAUUAUGUUUGCAUCAAUCAACAUGUGUCAAGAAGUUAAUGCUUUCAAGCAAUGUUAAUCUUUUUGUUAUAUGUCAAUUGAUGAUUUUCCUUAGUUUUACUUUUUUUCUUCAUAUAUAUAUAAAAUAUUUAUCGAAGGAGGGUGAUGGAAUCAGUCUAAUAAUU